UGUAGGGUUUUUAGUUCAAUUGAAACAAUCUCUGGUCUCCAUAAAGAUUCUACGCACCCCUUCUCCCUUCGUAUCUGAUAUCUCCAUCUCCAUCUCUUCUGAUUCCAACUGCAGCACCAACACCUCCUCUCAAGUCUUAAUUUAGCAAGUUACUAGCGGCUUCAUCUCUCCAUCUCUCUCGAUCUUCUCUCCCUCUAUCUCUUCAUCUCUCUCGAUCUUCUCAAUCUUCUCCAUUUCGCUACCGCUCCGCCUUCGGUGACACCUAGUGGCCGUCGACUGCCACAGUCUGCAACGCAAGGCAUAAAACCAUGAUCUUUGUUUCUCAACCGGAUAUCUCUCCAAUCUAUUAUUCAGGUUCAUUCCUAUCUCUCUCAUUUAUUUUUUGAUCCAUAUUUACUCAUUUCGAUUUGCCAUAAGUUCUUUUCAUUGGUGAUUCUACUGUGAAAGGAUUACUUUAGUUUUGAUACUUAGCUUUUAAUUAGUUUGUGAUUGAGAAUCAUUCAAAUUUCAAGUUUCAUGUUUGAUACUUAGCUUUUACUUGGUGUUAUUUAGACUUGUUACAUGUUUUUCCUCUGUUUCUGGUUGCCCAAUUAUUCCCUAUCCAAAUUAGAUUUUUAUUCUCACAAAAAAAAAAAAAAAAAAA
Molecule: long non-coding RNA, 643 nt
Organism: Benincasa hispida (wax gourd)
Lineage: Eukaryota; Viridiplantae; Streptophyta; Magnoliopsida; Cucurbitales; Cucurbitaceae
Source: RefSeq, a predicted model, not a curated record